Molecule: ribosomal RNA, 253 nt
Filed under: uncultured bacterium
Lineage: Bacteria
Description: partial 16S ribosomal RNA
Rfam family: Bacterial small subunit ribosomal RNA
Source: RNAcentral
UACGUAGGGUGCAACCGUUGUUCGGAUUUAUUGGGUUUAAAGGGUGCGUAGGUGGCUUUUUAAGUCAUGGGUGAAAGCCCGCAGCUCAACUGUGGAAUUGCCUGUGAUACUGAGGAGCUUGAGUGCGGUUGAGGCAGCUGGAAUUGGUGGUGUAGCGGUGAAAUGCAUAGAUACCCCCAGGAACACCGAUUGCGAAGGCAGGUUGCUAAGCCGUAACUGACACUGAGGCACGAAAGCGUGGGGAGCAAACAGG